This is a long non-coding RNA of Sparus aurata (gilthead seabream), 2097 nucleotides long. The record is from Ensembl. Lineage: Eukaryota; Metazoa; Chordata; Actinopteri; Spariformes; Sparidae.
GUAGAGACUCAGGUGUUGAUCACUUUGUGACCAUAUCUGUCCCCUCCUUUUUCUCAGGUUUGCUCAUGUGUUUUCAGACACAGGCAAGUAUGUGUUUGUUGACAGCGCUGUCCCAGAGUGGAGUAUGGUGGUGGUGGUCAGCGAGGAGGGGACAGAGUGUGACCGUCGGGCUUCAGUCUUCCAGCCCAUGACCCCGGUACAGCUGGUCAAGUAUGGGAUUGUCAAGCAGCACAGACUCAACCUUCUACCUGACUGGGGAGUGAUAGCAGGUGUGUGUCCCUACUGUUCACCUCAUGUUUUAUCAUGCAGGAACAUGACUGUAAUGAGUUAACCCCCUGCUUUUUUUUUAUCAUGACACAAUACUAACUGUGUGUAGGGAUCCUGAGUCUGCUGCUGGUUGUUGUUGUGGUUGUCACCACCACAGUGCUUGUCCUGCGACCUGGCAAAGUAAAACUUGUCUCCCAGUGGAGGACAAAGCCAAAGUGGCGCAGCCUCGGGGAGCCCUUCUGUCCAGUGGAUAGUGUUUACAGUGGAGAAAGCAUAGCUGUUCCAAGUCUAGGAGACUUCUUAGGCAGUAGGGGUGUAGGAGAGGGAGCAGAAGCUGAGGAGCCUGCUGUUUCGAAAGGAGGAAGUGUGUCAGGCUACUGUGAUUUAGAGGAGUUCAACGUGAAGACUCUGUACGACAAACUAGAGGACCAGAACCUCCACAUAGCCUCACAGCUUGCCCGACACCGCAAAGACACGCAGGAGUUUUAUAGGAACAUUUGUCAGCAGACUGAAACCAUCAAGGUGAGUUGAACUGUAGCAUAGAAAGAAGUAGCCAUUAUAUAUCUAAUAUUGAAAAUGUGUGACUCAAGUGUCACAAGAAAAAGACGUAAAUUUUUUUUUCUUCUUUCAGAAUGUCUUUGAAAAUAUGGAUAAUAAAAAACUGAGUCAUCUUAAGGAGCUGCUGGUCCAUAAUGCACUGAGAGAUAAACCAUCUAACAGCAUCACAGGAGAAAGAGAUGCAAAUGGUAAAUAAUGAAUAAUGGUGACACGGUGUGCGAUUUCAUCAAAGAAACCGAGCUGAAAAACAAUUUCUUCUUCUAUUAAAGAAAAAGGCAGUUGGUUGAUUAAAGAAAUGUUCCCCAGAUACAUACGAACAUAUACAUAACGGGAACAUGAAAAUGAGCCCUAUGCUCCCCAGUUCUUCUUAUGUGCUCCUCCAGGUUCCUAUGUUCCCACAGUCCUCUGUUUCCAAGGUUCUGUAUUUCCCGCUCUGGGUUCAUGGUUAUGGUUAAAGUUAAUGCUCUUCAACCUGAACACAAUAGUAGGGUUAAUCUGUGUUAACAUAAACUGGGGAAUUUAGGACUCUGGAAACACUGAACCUUGAGAAUUUCUGACCAUGUGAAAAUAGGACCUUGGGAACUUAAGAUAUUGGCAAGUUAAGACCCUGGGAACAUUGGAGCAUUGGAACCUACGACACUGGGAACAUAGGAAGUUUGAAAAAUGUAAAUUGGUGGUUUUGCAAAAGGUUGUAUGUUGUUUGAUCAAAUAGGAUAAUACUUUUUUAAGAGAGCUGCUGGGAGGUGAACUGUUUUAAGUCUAAGUGUCUGCUGGCUACAUUGGAUACAAAGACAUUCAUUGUAUUGAUCUUCUCAUCUAACUCUUAGUGAGUAAGAUAACAAACAUUGUAUUACCUGCAAUAUUUAAGCUUUAUCACAUUUUAUGCCUGAAUGUGUGAAACAGACGUGCUCAAAUUCUUUCUUUCCAAUCACCUGUUGUUGUUUUUUUGAAAGCCAAAAAAAACGGUCACAUCCUUUAUUAAAUCUGUUUGUCUCAUCACCAUCACCCCAGCUGAGGCUUCAAUAGCGUUACUUGGAGCUGUUCUCAGGUCAGUGGAAGCUCUACUAUGUAGGCUUACAGGGGAGGCUUGGCAGAACCAGGAUUUGCCUGUUCGCCCGUACUGUCAGUCGGAUCCUCAUGAUGGUAGGGAAUGUGAGCAGCAAGCUGGAUACACACAUCACGGUGACACCAACAUGUGCUAUACACAGGUAAUGUGUCGUAGUCUUCUGUUUGCAGCAUAUUUUGGAAUAAUUCAGUUGAGAGUCAUUUCCG